RNAcentral lists this ribosomal RNA (376 nucleotides) under Chordodes janovyi. RNAcentral's name for it is "eukaryotic LSU rRNA". It matches the Rfam family "Eukaryotic large subunit ribosomal RNA", at positions 675 to 1014 of the family's 3401-position model. Lineage: Eukaryota; Metazoa; Nematomorpha; Gordioida; Chordodea; Chordodidae. The record is from RNAcentral.
CUAACAGGUGCGCGAGUCGCCGGGUGCUCCGCGAAACCCGGGGGUGAAACGAAAGUGAAAGGCCGUAAGGCCCGAGGAAAGAUGCCGCGUCGACCGUGGCGCGGCCGCAUUUCCGUUCUGCCGCGAUCGGAGCAAUCGCGAUGCGGUGGAAAGAGAGCGUACACGUUGGGACCCGAAAGAUGGUGAUCUAUGCCUGGGCAGGAUGAAGCCAGAGGAAACUCUGGUGGAGGUCCGAAGCGAUUCUGACGUGCAAAUCGAUCGUCAAACCUGGGUAUAGGGGCGAAAGACUAAUCGAACCAUCUAGUAGCUGGUUCACUCCGAAGUUUCCCUCAGGAUAGCUGGCGUGCGGUAUCGAAACAGUUUUAUCCGGUAAAGC